Long non-coding RNA from Labeo rohita (rohu), 201 nucleotides. RefSeq lists it as uncharacterized. The transcript is spliced from 4 exons. The record is from RefSeq and is a predicted model, not a curated record. NCBI's taxonomy places the organism in Eukaryota, Metazoa, Chordata, Actinopteri, Cypriniformes, Cyprinidae.
GUGAGAGUGUGGAAGCGUGUGACCUGAAUCAGCCAUAUUUUCUGAAACACCUGGAGAGGAGAUGGAUGAAUUUCAUGGGAUGAAACAGAAUCACCCUCCACUACUGCCUGUACCCUUACAACCUGGCACUUCCUCUGAUGGGCGUUCCAACCAUUCCACAAUGCCUAACCAAGGUACUAAAAGAAAGCGUGAUCAUAAAUC